This 769-nucleotide ribosomal RNA is filed under the name uncultured Actinomycetes bacterium. RNAcentral describes it as "bacterial SSU rRNA". It matches the Rfam family "Bacterial small subunit ribosomal RNA", at positions 8 to 795 of the family's 1533-position model. The record is from RNAcentral. Lineage: Bacteria; Bacillati; Actinomycetota; Actinomycetes.
AGAGUUUGAUCAUGGCUCAGGAUGAACGCUGGCGGCGUGCUUAACACAUGCAAGUCGAACGAGGUCCAACCUUCGGGUGAAGACCGAGUGGCGAACGGGUGAGUAACACGUGGGGAACCUGCCCUUCUCUCUGGGAUAACCUCGGGAAACCGAAGCUAAUACCGGAUACUCCUUGCGGACCGCAUGGUCUGCUCGGGAAAGCUCCGGCGGGGAAGGAUGGCCCCGCGGCCCAUUAGCUUGUUGGUGGGGUAACGGCCCACCAAGGCGACGAUGGGUAGCCGAGCUGAGAGGCUGAUCGGCCACACUGGGACUGAGACACGGCCCAGACUCCUACGGGAGGCAGCAGUGGGGAAUCUUGCGCAAUGGGCGAAAGCCUGACGCAGCAACGCCGCGUGCGGGAUGAAGGCUCUCGGGUCGUAAACCGCUUUCAGCAGGGAUGAAAAUGACAGUACCUGCAGAAGAAGCCCCGGCUAAAUACGUGCCAGCAGCCGCGGUAAUACGUAUGGGGCAAGCGUUAUCCGGAUUCAUUGGGCGUAAAGCGCGCGUAGGCGGCUUGUUAAGUCAGGCGUGAAAUCCGGGGGCUCAACCCGCGGCUUGCGUCUGAAACUGGCAGGCUUGAGUCUGGUAGAGGAAAGUGGAAUUCCUGGUGUAGCGGUGAAAUGCGCAGAUAUCAGGAGGAACACCAGUGGCGAAGGCGGCUUUCUGGGCCACGACUGACGCUGAGGCGCGAAAGCUAGGGGAGCGAACAGGAUUAGAUACCCUGGUAGUC